CCACACAUUCAAAGAGUGCGUAAUAGCUCACUAGUCGAGAGGUCCUGCGCCGAAAAUGUCCGGGGCUAAAACACGACACCGAAGCUGUGGAAUGUGUAUUCAUACACAUUGGUAGAGGAGCAUUCUUAACGCACAGAAGCAUUACCGUAAGGAGAUGUGGAGUGUUAAGAAGAGAGAAUGCCGGAAUGAGUAGCGAGAUGGAGGUGAGAAUCCUCCAGGCCGAAUAUCUAAGGUUUCCAGAGUAAAGCUGAUCUGCUCUGGGUAAGUCGGGGCCUAAGGCGAGGUCGAAAGACGUAGUCGAUGGACAACAGGUUGAAAUUCCUGUACCGCAUAUCAUCAGAACUGUGGGGACACAGAACCGAGGAAGAACCCGGGAAUGAAAAGACCGGGGCAAGCAUUUUACUGGCUGRGAUGGAAAAUCCGCYCAGCAACAGGAAGGUGUGACGCGUACCGAACACAAGUAGGGAAGUCUUCGUAGGGGCUGUCAAGAAAAGCCGCUAUUGUGUGAUAUGUGCCCGUACCGUAAACCGACACAGGUGGAUGAGGAGAGAAUCCUAAGGCCGGCGGGAGAAGCAUUGUUAAGGAACUCGGCAAAAUGACCCCGUAACUUCGGGAUAAGGGGUGCCUGAGAAAUCAGGCCGCAGAGAAUAGGCUCAAGCAACUGUUUAGCAAAAACACAGGUCUAUGCAAAACCGAAAGGUGAGGUAUAUGGGCUGACGCCUGCCCGGUGCUGGAAGGUUACGAGGAGGGGUUAGCGGCAACGCGAAGCUCUGAAUUUAAGCCCCAGUAAACGGCGGCC
This 799-nucleotide ribosomal RNA is filed under the name Lacrimispora indolis. RNAcentral's name for it is "bacterial LSU rRNA". It matches the Rfam family "Bacterial large subunit ribosomal RNA", at positions 1117 to 1935 of the family's 2925-position model. Lineage: Bacteria; Bacillati; Bacillota; Clostridia; Lachnospirales; Lachnospiraceae. The record is from RNAcentral.